This 88-nucleotide transfer RNA is filed under the name Ignavibacteriaceae bacterium. RNAcentral describes it as "tRNA-Ser". It matches the Rfam family "tRNA". From Rfam's summary of the family: Transfer RNA (tRNA) molecules are approximately 80 nucleotides in length. Their secondary structure includes four short double-helical elements and three loops (D, anti-codon, and T loops). Lineage: Bacteria; Pseudomonadati; Ignavibacteriota; Ignavibacteria; Ignavibacteriales; Ignavibacteriaceae. The record is from RNAcentral.
GGUGAGUUGGCCCGCUGGAAUGGGAAGCAGUUUGCUAAACUGUCCGGUGUUUAAAAGCAUCUACAGGUUCGAGUCCUGUACUCACCGC